Molecule: long non-coding RNA, 5630 nt
Organism: Gasterosteus aculeatus aculeatus (three-spined stickleback)
Lineage: Eukaryota; Metazoa; Chordata; Actinopteri; Perciformes; Gasterosteidae
Source: Ensembl
CAGAACGUUAACUUUACACACUCUUUGUUGUCAUUGUGGACAGUGAGGAAGUUAUGUAACGGAGGUGUCAUAAAACUCUGCACUGUUUGAGAAGAAAACGCCAGGUCUCUGAACUUAAGAAAGAACAGCCAAGGCCCUUGAGUUUUUACUACACGAGCCAGACGCGCAGGUUCAGAUGCUCGCAGUUUGUUUUAUGAUGUCAGGCCUUAAACUGCAGAUACUUCAGCUGAGCUCGCAGGGGCAUAAUCUCCAGCUGGAAAGCUUUCUCGGGCCCUGGUGUUGCCCUUCACCUGGGUGAGGCGUGGAAAGUUGGCAGGAGACUGGAGUUUCAGCAACAUCAAUACUCUUCCUGCCACCAGGUUUGUUUUAUGUCUCUCUGCGUCGGCGGGCACUUGAGGGGUGGACAAUUUGUUUAGGCAGCUGAAGAUGGAACUGUGUGUAGCGGAGGAUUAUGAGAUCGCCGGGUGAUUUGUGGGUGGGAUCUUCUCAGAGGCCCCCGGCUGAAAUAUCCAACACUUGCUUUGGUGUUAAAUUAUGAUACCUAAACCAUAAAUAUUCUGCAUUAAGACCCCCAGCGUUCCACGUUUGAGAACAGAUAGUUUGUCUUUCUGUUCUUACUCCCCCCGUGAGUGGCUGAAUUUGUCCCACAUUCCUUUGUGAAAAACACUUAAUGAGUCAGUGAAACCAGGGAUUUUAUUCUUCCUCUGUUGCGCACACAUCUUCGCAGCGCGGUUUACAUCUUAAUAAUGUACUCCAGACCAUAAUUUAAUUCACCACAGCAGUGUGAAACACACACCGAGAAGGAAUCUCGCCACAGCAAAAAUUGGAGUGUUGAAAUUUCAGGGUUAAAAAUUUCCGAGUUGAUUUUCACUCCCUGAGUGUAAUUUUAACACAUUCUGAUUUAAAUGGUGUUCAGUGUUGGAGUUAUUUGGCAGAGUUGAUCAUGUCAGUGUUAACCCAACUCCGCAGAGACGUAAUUAAGCUCCGCCCACGCCUUUCACCUCUUCGGUUAGAGACAGAGAAGACAAGUCUGCGCCAUUUUCUACCUCUCAUGCAGUACUACACGAUCAAAGGGACCGCAAAAAACGUGUCCCAACAUGCAGACGGUGUUUCACGUGUCUAGUUCACGUGUCUAGCUAUCCAUCAGAUUCUAUGACCUGCAGUGUUGGAAAAAGUACUCAUUUACUUAAGUAAAAGUAUUCAAAAUGCUGGUCCAGGUGAAGUACAGCCAACAGCAGAAGUAUGUAAAGUUGGAUGAGGAUGAAGGACUGUUUGACUUUCUGCAAUUCCAUGAAAAAGUCAUGGAGAGAUUUGGCCUGCCACCUGAUGCAAAUGUUAUAUACAAGGAUGCAACAGGGACAGAAGUUGAUGCAGAAAUAUUCAGCGACCUCGUUGGACAAGGCAAUGUGGUCCUGACAGUUUUCUCAGAUCAGGAAUUCUCUGAUUUCUCCUUGUCUUCUGAGACGUCUGACUCAAGCUUCAGCUCAAGUGCAUCAACUAUAAUCCUAGAUGUUCCGAACAAGAGACAAAGAAUUGAGGAUACACGUGAUGCUGUGUCUGCUAAACAGUUGAUAGAAGCUGUGCUAAGAGGCAAGUCCGGAGGUGAAGAAGUACUACAGGAGUACCAAACAACAGAAACCCAGAUGCUGCAAGAAGACAAAUGGUUAAUAUCCUGGUGGCUCACAUGAUUGACAAUCAUGGGCACUAAAACAAUCAGAGAAGAUUAUGCACGUGGGAUAGUGAUGCUGUUCCCUUCCCUUAAGGAUCCAUACUCCAAGAAGGGCUAUGAACACUUCUAUGAUGCUGCAAGCAGCACAGGAUACAUUUCUUGGCGUCUGAAAACAGUCCAGAGGAAGAUUCGUCAAGUAUCUGCACAGCCACCAAAAAGCCCAAUUGACUUUUCUCCAGUAGGCCCAAAUUGCCAAAGGACUGUUAAUGUUGAAGGGCAGCUUGAUGGUGAUGCUUGCCAAGAGGCCAUGUCUUUGCUUAACCAUGCAGCAGACAAUUCCCUGAUUUUCCAGAAGAUGAGAGAGACCUUUCAGCAUCGUCAGAAGCUUGUUAAUGACCCAGGCAGAAGUGUUGAUAUACUCUCCAACUUCCCAAGAUUUCUGGAUACAAAAGGAUUGGUGGAACAAGACUUCACUCUCCUAUUUGACGAAGACACAUCAUCCAGGCUUCUUCAGAAAUGGGAUUUGUUCUUCAAGCCAAAUGUCAUUAAAGAGGCUAAGCGGCUCACCUCAACACCAGAGUUGCGUCGCUUGGUGCAGUCAGCAGAAAGUCCCCCAGGAAGUGAUCUUGAUGAGGCAACAACCUACGACCAAGAAAUGGCCUCCCUGUUGUUGCUGUUACAUCUCCUUCCACCACCUCCAGGGGGACUGAAGUCUCCAAAAAUUAGUGCAUGUGAUGCAGUUGAAAGACUUGUUGUCUUUCAUAAGUCAUGCUGCAGUUUGGAGGAGCAUCUCCGCAACCAGCAGGGUCGGCAGCCGUACCUCCUCGCUGUUGGGCGUCAGAAGAGCAAGAUUGACAGCUUCUACGUCACCAUGGAUAAGCGUCUCAUCCCAUGCAAGGCAAACCGCUCCCUCGGGGCAUGUGAUGAACUUUUCAAAGCACAUUAAAUUUGUCUUACGAUGUGGCACUUGUGAAUUUUUAUACAUUCCUGCAGACAACAGUGUAUAACAUUGAUGUGGGGAAAAUGAAGGAGUCACCCAGAGUUAAAGACUUGAGAGCAAGACUGCUUAACCAGCAAGUAGCAUUCUCACCCUGUGAGUAAGAAGCUAUAACAAUGCUGACCUGUUUCAUGUGUCAGAAAAAUUAUCCCAGCAGUCAGCAGUUGAUUUCACAUUUAAGAGUUGAACAUGGUUACUAUCCUGGACCCAAGUUCAAAUUGUUUUGUUCUCAGCAAUGCUGUAGGCAUCAGUUCCUAACAUAUGCAGGUUUUCGAAAGCACCGUAAUAGUGUUCAGAGCAUUUUUCAGCAAACUCAAACUUCAACUGUUGCAUGUUCAUCUAGUGAGCCAGUUGCAACUUCAUCUCAGGCACAUACUUUGGAGGACCAAUUUAUUCCACAAAAUCAAUGUAGUUCUUCCAGUAUUUCUUCUGAGGCCAAUGAUUCAGGACUUACUAAAGAUCCAACUAAAGAAAUGUGUGCAUCCAUCGUGGCCAAAUUACAGGGGAGUGGGAUAUCCAACAGUUUGGUAUCCUCAAUUGUAGGAGAUUUGGAAGAACUAACGAGUGAACUUCGCUCACAAGCAAAGCAUACAGCUAUUUCUGCUUUACCUAUAACUGACCCCAACAUAUCUGUGAUAAAUGAAUCUUUUGAAGAUUAUGAAAAUCCGUUUUCAAAUCUGAACACAGAAUGGAAACGAAAUAAAUACUUCCACCAAAAAUGGGGAGUUGUUGAGCCAGUAGAAAUAACACUGGGAGUGAGAUAUGACAACAGGCGAAAUCAGAAAUCCGGUACUUAUGAUCAAGUACCUGUGAAGGAUACUUUUAUCUAUGUGCCAAUUUUAGAAACAUUGAAGUUCAUGUGCAGAAAUCCAGACAUUUGUGUUUUGCUAAAGAAGGAGUGUAGAUCAGAGCCUGACACUUAUACUGACUUUUUUGGUGGAAGUUAUUUUAAAACCCACCCUUUGUUUACAGCUAAUAAACAUGCAUUGCAAAUUCAACUAUACUAUGACGAUUUUGAAACAGCCAAUCCCCUUGGCUCCAAACGUGGAAUACACAAAAUUGGCUGUCUUUAUUUUGUUGUAAGAAAUUUGCCCCCAAAAUUUAAUUCGGUUUUGAUGAACAUUCAUUUGGUAUCACUUUUUCACACACAAGAUCUGCGCAAGUAUGGUUUUGAUGUUAUACUAGAACCGUUGAUAAAUGAUGUGAAAAAACUAGAAAGCCAAGGGCUAAGUCUUCCAUUUGUAGAUGAGCAGGUAUAUGGUACAAUCUGUCAGAUUACUGGAGAUAAUCUAGGGAUGCACACAAUUCUUGGUUUUAAUGAGUCAUUUAGUAGCCGUCAUUUCUGUUGCCUUUGUUUGAUUGAGAAGAAUGAUUGUCAAACGGUAUACAGUGAGGAUGAUCCUAAAGUGAUCCUUCGUGGAAAAGAUAUGUUUGAUAUGCAUUGCCAGUCUCUCCAGGAAAACCCACAAUUUAAGUCACUUUAUGGUUUGAAAAAAAGAUCUGCACUUAAUUCAUUGAAGUAUUUCCAUGUUUGCAAUAACUAUUCAUUUGAUAUCAUGCAUGAUCUUCUUGAGGGUGUGGUUCAGUAUGAGAUCAAAUUGCUUUUUGGAUAUCUCACACAACACUUUAUGUCAGAACAAGACUUGCUUUCCAGGAUUUAUGGUUUUGAUUAUGGAUUUUUAGAACGAAAAAAAUCGUCCUACAAAGAUUAUUUUGGAGAGUGCUGGCAAUGGCAUUGGUUUGAAUUCUAUUCAGACAUUGUGUCUUGUGAAAAACAUCCCACUGUUGUUUGGUGAAAUUAUUCCUGCAGGAAACAAAAACUGGAAUUGGUUACUGUUGUCAAAUAAUGAACAUAGUUUUUUCACCUUCUCUCACUCUAGGUAUGACAAUAUAUUUAAAGCAUUUGAUUGUUGACCACCACAAACUAUUUAAGCACUUGUAUCCACAUAGAAACGUGAUACCUAAGCAUCAUUUUAUGAUCCAUUACCCAUCUUCUAUAAGGAAAAUUGGCCCCUUAUUAUAUACGUGGUGUAUGAGGUUUGAGGCCAAACACAAGCUGUUUAAAGAUUCUUUAAAAAAUUUCAAAAACAUAACCAAAUCGCUUGCUAUAAAGCAUCAGAUGGCCAUUGCUUAUCACUGGGAAACCUUCACCCUCAAAAAAAAUGAGUAUGGGCCCAUUAAAUCUUUUCUCUUCAGAGAUGAGAAUGUGGUCAACAAUGAAAUGCUUGAAACAAUCUUGUCAAAAGAUGUUUUCUCAACUAGUUGGGUUAAAGUUGAUGGUGUAGAGUAUAAAGCUGGACUAGUUAUUUGCAGUGCAAUGGAAGAAGACAUGCCAGUCUUUUGUCAAAUAAGUGAUGUACUUUUGGUUGAAGAUCACUUAUUUUUUUUGACAAACAAGCUAUUUACAGAGAAUUUUGAUGACCAUCAUCAUGCAUUCAGAGUAUUACGAAGUGCGGAAAGAUGUUUACUAAAAAUGUCUUAGCUUAAAUUUCAAAAACCGUUUGAUAUUCAAAGCUCAUACAAUGUUUCGGAUGAAAGUUUGUACAUUAUACCUUCAUUCACAAUGUUUUAAUUCAACUGACUGCAAGGGAGAAAAGGAAUAAAUGUUUUUGAAAAUGUUUUUGUUUAUUGUGAUGAAUUCUUAUUAAUAGAAGUAUAUAUUUAAUUAAUACAUUUAAAAUUAAUUUUAACAUUUUUUCAGUGUAGAUAAUUGACACAUUAGGGAGUGUAAUUAACACUACCAAAAUAGUUUAAAAAAUUAACUCGGAGCAGUGUUAGUUGUCUAAUCCCUCAGUGUUAUUUUAACACUGUUUUGUGAGUUAAUAAAGGAACUCUGGUAGAGUGUUAAAUGUUUAACUAUUUUGAAAGUGUUAAUUUAACUCUGGAGAGUGUGGAGCUAUAUAAACUCUCAAAAAGUGUUGAAAUCAACUCUGUGGGAGUUAAUUCAACACUGGACUUUUUGCU